GACGAACGCUGGCGGCGUGCUUAACACAUGCCAGUCGAACGGGUCUGCCCUGUUUUUUGCGGGGUGGGUCAGUGGCGAACGGGUGAGUAACACGUGAGUAACCUGCCCCUCACUUCUGGAUAACCGCUUGAAAGGGUGGCUAAUACGGGGUGUUCUGGCUGUGCCGCAUGGUGUGGCUGGGAAAGAUUCACUUUUGUGUUGUUUUGGUGGGGGAUGGGCUCGCGGCCUAUCAGCUUGUUGGUGGGGUGAUGGCCUGCCAAGGCUUUGACGGGUAGCCGGCCUGAGAGGGUGGGCGGUCACACUGGGACUGAGAUACGGCCCAGACUCCUGCGGGAGGCAGCAGUGGGGGGUAUUGCACAAUGGGCGGAAGCCUGAUGCAGCGACGUCGCGUGAGGGAUGGAGGCCUUCGGGUUGUGAACCUCUUUCGCCGGUGAAGAAGGUCCUGCUCUUUGUGGUGGGGUUGACGGUAGCCGGGUUAUGAAGCGCCGGCUAACUACGUG
Molecule: ribosomal RNA, 500 nt
Filed under: uncultured bacterium
Lineage: Bacteria
Description: partial 16S ribosomal RNA
Rfam family: Bacterial small subunit ribosomal RNA
Source: RNAcentral